Molecule: non-coding RNA, 129 nt
Organism: Brassica napus (rape)
Lineage: Eukaryota; Viridiplantae; Streptophyta; Magnoliopsida; Brassicales; Brassicaceae
Source: Rfam
AAGUGGUAACGAGAGAGAGACAGGGAACAAGCAGAGCAUGGAUCGAGUUUUUACCAAAACAUCAAAUGACUAUGUUUGGUCUCUUCCCAUGCACUGCCUCUUCCCUGGCUCCCUGUUUCUCCUCCCUUC